GACGAACGCUGGCGGCGUGCUUAACACAUGCAAGUCGAACGGAAAGGCCCUGCUUUUGUGGGGUGCUCGAGUGGCGAACGGGUGAGUAACACGUGAGUAACCUGCCCUUGACUUUGGGAUAACUUCAGGAAACUGGGGCUAAUACCGGAUAGGAGCUCCUGCUGCAUGGUGGGGGUUGGAAAGUUUCGGCGGUUGGGGAUGGACUCGCGGCUUAUCAGCUUGUUGGUGGGGUAGUGGCUUACCAAGGCUUUGACGGGUAGCCGGCCUGAGGGGGUGGCCGGCCACAAUGGGACUGAGAUAAGGCCCCGACCCCUACCGGGGGGCGGCGGGGGGAAUAUUGCCAAAUGGGCCGAAGGCUGAUGCAGCCACGCCGGGUGCGGGAAGAACGCCUUUGGGGUGUAAAACCCUUUCGCCUUUGACGGAGGGGGGGUGACGGUAAUGGGUAAAGAAGCACCGGCUAACUACGUG
Molecule: ribosomal RNA, 468 nt
Filed under: uncultured bacterium
Lineage: Bacteria
Description: partial 16S ribosomal RNA
Rfam family: Bacterial small subunit ribosomal RNA
Source: RNAcentral